GGGGGUGUAGCUCAGUGGUAGAGCACAAGCUUAGCAUGCACAAGGCCCUGGGUUCAAUCCCCAGCACAUACA
This 72-nucleotide transfer RNA is filed under the name Urocitellus parryii (Arctic ground squirrel). RNAcentral's name for it is "Spermophilus parryii (Arctic ground squirrel) tRNA". It matches the Rfam family "tRNA". Rfam says of the family: Transfer RNA (tRNA) molecules are approximately 80 nucleotides in length. Their secondary structure includes four short double-helical elements and three loops (D, anti-codon, and T loops). Further hydrogen bonds mediate the characteristic L-shaped molecular structure. tRNAs have two regions of fundamental functional importance: the anti-codon, which is responsible for specific mRNA codon recognition, and the 3' end, to which the tRNAs corresponding amino acid is attached (by aminoacyl-tRNA synthetases). tRNAs cope with the degeneracy of the genetic code in two manners: having more than one tRNA (with a specific anti-codon) for a particular amino acid; and 'wobble' base-pairing, i.e. permitting non-standard base-pairing at the 3rd anti-codon position. The record is from Rfam by way of RNAcentral. Lineage: Eukaryota; Metazoa; Chordata; Mammalia; Rodentia; Sciuridae. RNAcentral also lists the same sequence under 2 other names.